AACCAGUACCGUGAGGGAAAGGUGAAAAGAACCCCGAACAGGGGAGUGAAAUAGAACCUGAAACCGUGUACUUACAAGCGGUCGGAGCUGGCAGGUCCAGUGACGGCGUGCCUUUUGCAUAAUGAGCCUACGAGUUACUCUUCUCUGGCAAGGUUAAGUGCUUCAGGCACGGAUCCGAAGCGAAAGCGAGUCUGAAUAGGGCGUAUAGUCAGAGGAGGUAGACGCGAAACCUUGUGAUCUACCCAUGGACAGGUUGAAGGUGCGGUAACACGUACUGGAGGACCGAACCGAUAAACGUUGAAAAGUUUCCGGAUGAUCUGUGGGUAGGGGUGAAAGGCUAAUCAAACUGGGAAAUAGCUCGUACUCCCCGAAAUGUUUUUAGGAACAGCGUCGGCAUUGAGUUACAUAGAGGUAGAGCUACUGAUUGGGUGCGGGGGAGUCAAAUCCUACCAAAUCCAGACAAACUCCGAAUGCUAUGUAAUAUGGCCGGCAGUGAGGCGCGGGGUGCUAAGGUCACGCGCCGAGAGGGAAAGAACCCAGACCAUCAGCUAAGGUCCCCAAGUUACGGUUAAGUUGAACUAACGAGGUCCGAUUGCACAGACAGCUAGGAUGUUGGCUUGGAAGCAGCCAUUCAUUUAAAGAGUGCGUAACAGCUCACUAGUCGAGCGAUCGGGCAUGGAUAAUAAACGGGCAUUAAACCGUACACCGAAGCUAUGGGAUUGAAAUAUAUCGGUAGGGGAGCAUUCUAUGUGCAGUGAAGGUAUCUGGUAAUGGGUGCUGGAGCGCAUAGAAAAGCAAAUGUAGGCAUAAGUAACGAUAAGGCGGGCGAGAAACCCGCCCACCGAAAGGAUAAGGUUUCCUGAUCAACGCUAAUCGGAUCAGGGUCAGUCGGGACCUAAGGAGAACCCGAAGGGGAAAUUCGAUGGACAACUGGUUAAUAUUCCAGUACUUUUUAUAACUGCGAUGUGGGGACGGAGUAGUGACACUGCCGCGAUCUGACGGAAUAGAUCGUUGAAG
Molecule: non-coding RNA, 1017 nt
Filed under: Corchorus olitorius
Lineage: Eukaryota; Viridiplantae; Streptophyta; Magnoliopsida; Malvales; Malvaceae
Description: Bacterial large subunit ribosomal RNA
Rfam family: Bacterial large subunit ribosomal RNA
Source: Rfam by way of RNAcentral